GUUUCACCGUAGUCGCGCAUUGACACGCCUCCUUCCCUGUGCUCUCCGCGUCCGGGAAAGGCAGCGACUUCAGGAAGCAACGUUUGAGACUCGGCCCAUUGACCGAGUUUUGGGGCGUCGACUUCUCUCCGCUCAGACCAAUCGGAGUUCACGGUGAAACUUUGUAAACAAGUCUUACACGCUGAGAUGAAGCUCGUCUUUUCUAUUUACUCCAAGAAAGACGCGACGGUGCUGCGGCCAAACGACUCAAAAGCAAAACAGGAAUGGGAACCUGUGGGAUGUUCUCAGGCCUUCAGAGGUGAUCUCAGCCAAACAGAGGAAACAUCUGCUCUACUGCUGUUCUAAAUGCUCCAGAUCUACACAAACACACACACGCAUACAUAUACACACACACACACACACCACAUACAGUCUUAGAGGUUGUGCCUGCCAGAGGAAGAGUGUUAUUACAAAAAGCACACAUGCCUUUAUACUUACAUACACAUUAACACACACACAGAUGCUGCCUGUCUUCCUCUCAUCCUCAUCCUGUCACAACCACAGUGCAGUUUGUCCUCCAGCUCACCAUCCCUGCAUUCAGGACCUGCACUAACAGCUGCUCUGGCAGCUAAAUCUGAGUCCCAUGUUCUGUUUGUCUUUAUAUUGGUCUGUUUGUUCUCGUGUUUCCCUCUAUCUUGACAAGAAGUCCUUAAUCAGCAGAAUUGAGCCAGUGUUUUUUAACAAUUGCUCAAACAGGUUACCAAAUAUGUUGUUAUGUUGUAGCAAAACCUAAUUAUCACAAUGAGAGUCCUUAAUUUCUGUUAUUAGCGAGUAUUUAAGUAUUAAAGUAUUCCGCUUUGCUGCAAAACUUGCAUAUACACGUUUUCAUCAGAGGAGAUGGUGUUUUUCUGUGUCUGCCUCAGUCUUGUGAUUUUUCCUGAGCAUGCUCAUGAUGUUUUAACUAUUUUGUACAAAAAGAGCUGAAAGAAAUGCAAGACAUUCUUUAAAGUAAAAAUAUGUUGGUUGUUGCAACGUGCCUAAACAAAAGGCAUUUGAGCUGUGUCACUCUAGAUAUCCACUUCUAUUUUUAAUGCUUAUAUACCAGUAAAUUCAACCUAUAUUUUUCAGUUGAAGUCCAUUUUUCUGUGCAAAUAACACUUCCAAAAUGCGGGUGACUAACAACUCAACGCAGUGCUCGAACACCUCCUAUGUAGACACUGAGUGAGCACUGGAGCUGCUGAUGCUGCUCUGCUAACAUUGUGCACAUGUUACACCUACUAUGUAGACACAAAGAAAGUAACUGUCUAAAUGGCCUAUAUAUGCACCCCCAUCGACAGGUUGAUUGUUCCUUACUGCUAUACAAUACUGUUCCAAAAUAAUUCAUUUGAGGCGUUACUGAUCUGACUGGGUAAUGUGAACAGUCAUCUCCUGUGUCAAAGUAACAUCCAUUCACUCUUCUCCCUAACAGAUUU
This 1451-nucleotide long non-coding RNA is filed under the name Mastacembelus armatus (zig-zag eel). RNAcentral's name for it is "lncRNA (ENSMAMG00000024610.1)". The record is from RNAcentral. Lineage: Eukaryota; Metazoa; Chordata; Actinopteri; Synbranchiformes; Mastacembelidae.